GACACAAGGCCUUGGUUCUUCAACUGCAAAGAACUGAGUUCUUCCAGCAACCCAAGGAAGCUUAGAGGAAGACCCUGAGCUCCAGAUGAGAAAUCAGCCUGUCUGACACCUGGAUUGUAGCCUUGUGGAACCCAUCUUAGCUAUGCUUGGGCUUCCAACCUGUGAGAAAUUAUAAUAUAAUGAAUGUGUGUUGUUUUAAUCCUAUAAAUAUGUUGCAAUAUAUUAUGUGGCAAUAGCAAACUAAUACAGAAACCAUCACAAUAGUUUUGAAAAAUUUUAUCAUUCCCCUCCAUAAAAUUUCCUUGAGACCAUUUGGCUGUUACCUCAAGGCUACCGGUAGUCUGUUAUCUUUUCUUACAGAUUUACCUUUUCUGGACGUUUCAUAUUAAUGGACUCUUACAACAUGGAAUCUCUUGUGUCUACUUUAUUUCAGUUAGCUUGUUUUAGAGGAUGCUUCAUGUUGUAGCAUGUACCAGUGGUAUUCUAUUGUAUGGAGACACUGUAUUGUGUUUAUAUAUUCAUCAGUGGAUUGACAUUUGCAUUGUUUCCAGUUUGGGACUUCUCUGACUGGGAAUAAUGCUGCUCUGAACAGGAGCAUGCAAGUCUCUGUGUGUACUGUGUAUACUACCCAUUUCUCUUGGGUAGUUACUUAGUUGUAGUUACUUAGUCAUUUUACUUUCCCACUAUAUGGCAUACUUAUGUUUAAACUGUUUAAGACAGGGCUGGGGUUGUGGCUCAGUGGUAGAGCACUCGCCUAGCACAUGCGAGGUGCUGGGUUUGACCCUAAGCACCACAUAAACAAAUAAAUAAAAUUUUAAAAAAGGUCCAACUACAACUAAAUAUAUACGUUUAUUUUAUGUUUAAGACAUUGUCACACUGUUUUCUAGAAGGGCUGCAUCAUUUUACUUUCCCACUAGGUAUGAAUGAGGGUUCCAGCUUCUUGACAUCCUUGCCAAGCCCUGGUCUAUUUUUAUUAAGGUCAUUCUGGUGGGAGUGUAUAUUUUUUUGUAGUUUUACUUGCAUUUCCCUAUUGGCUAGUGAUGUGGAAUAUAUUCUCAAAUGUUUACAAACCAUUCAUAACUCUUCUUUGGUGAAAUGUCUAUUUAAAUGUUUUGCUAUUUUUUUUUCAAUUGACUCAUUUAUUUUCUUAUUGAGUUUGAUUUUUAAAAAAUAUAUUCUAGAUACAGUCCUUUAUCAGAUGCAUAAGUUGUGAACCUUUUGUCCCAUUUUGUGGACUUUUAACUUUCUUUUUAUUUAUUUUAUUUUUUACUCUACAUUUUUUUCUUUUCACUUUCUUGAUGGUAUUUAUUGGAGUAUAAAAGUUUUUAAUUUUGAUGAAGUCCAGUGUAAUUAUUUUUUCUAUUGUUGCUUGUGCUUUUGGUGUUUUAUCUAAGAAUCUAUUUCUUUACCCACAGUCAUAAAAAUUUACUCCUAUAUUUUCUGCUAACAGAUUUUGGUAUCUAUUUUAGGGUGAUCUUGUUAAUUUUGUGAAGAAUUUGCUAAAAUUUUGAUACAUAUUUCUUUAAAUCAGUAGAUCAAUUUUGGGGAAAUUAUAUGUUAUCAAUAUUAAAUUCUC
RNAcentral lists this long non-coding RNA (1576 nucleotides) under Marmota monax (woodchuck). Lineage: Eukaryota; Metazoa; Chordata; Mammalia; Rodentia; Sciuridae. The record is from RNAcentral.